This is a long non-coding RNA of Venturia canescens, 846 nucleotides long. RefSeq lists it as uncharacterized. The transcript is spliced from 2 exons. The record is from RefSeq and is a predicted model, not a curated record. NCBI's taxonomy places the organism in Eukaryota, Metazoa, Arthropoda, Insecta, Hymenoptera, Ichneumonidae.
AAAUCCUGAAAAAAAUCACUUAUUUUUCAUUUGUUUUCAAUAAAAUCGAAUUCUGAAUCUUUUUCAAAAACAAAGACUGUUUUAUUUUAGUUCAAUGGAAACAAUCGUAAACUAAUGUCUCGGAAGUUGAAAAUGAUUAAAAUUUUAAGUUUUCCGAAUUUAUUUCGACCGUGAGCAGACGAUAUUUUACCUGAAGUUUUAGACAGCAAACAUGAGAAUUUUAUUUUAUUUAAUAAAAGAUGUUAAGGGUAUUAAAAUUGCUAAAUUGCAUGGAUUUAUGAAUUCUUGUUGACUUUCGUUUGUUAACAAUCCAUAUGGGAAAAACGGACCGAUGCGACAUUAGUAAGGACUUUCCUAAGAAGACACGUCGUCGAGAACUCCAACGCGUAACCGAGAAUACUGUGCACGAGUGGAGCGCGUCCGUAAGAGAAGGUGAAAGGGAAGUCACGGUUUCGAAAACUCUGUGCGAUGAGCGAGGGGAGUGGGAGUACAACGGGCGUACACUUGAGCAUAGUGGAGCUUCCAACACGUUCAUUUUCGGCUAGUGCAUACUUCGCUGGAUAAAAGGAAAAAUUUCAGAGUUCGCGGGUGCAGCGGUGGCUCCUUGAGACGUAGAGUGUCCAUCAGGAACGUGGAAAAGAACGACUGGUUGUUCUCGAGAUGAAAAAGGACUCAUGGGAGCGUAUGGAACGUCGCAACGGAAAAAUCCCUUUCUUUGGAGCUGAAUAAUCUCGCCCUCUUUCACCCGCUUCAGUUCGCUCUCGCCUAAUAAUUUAAUUUCUUUCUGCAACCGUUAACAUUGUAAUUAUAUUGAAAGAUAAUAAUUCAUAAAAUUUGUUAUAAAAA